Molecule: ribosomal RNA, 403 nt
Filed under: uncultured bacterium
Lineage: Bacteria
Description: partial 16S ribosomal RNA
Rfam family: Bacterial small subunit ribosomal RNA
Source: RNAcentral
GACGAACGCUGGCGGCGUGCCUAAUACAUGCAAGUCGAACGCAGUGGGUACGGGUGAGUAACACGUGGGUAACCUUCCAUCAGAGGGGAUAACACUUGGAAACAGGUGCUAAACCGAUCCUGAUGGAUUGACCCGCGGUUCAUUAGCUAGUUGGUGAGGUAACGGCCUACCAAGGCGACGCUCCGUAACGGGUCUGAGAGGAUGAUCAGCCACAAUGGAACUGAGACACGGUCCAGACUCCUACGGGAGGCAGAAGUGGGGAAUAUUGGACAAUGGGCGAAAGCCUGAUCCAGCCAUGCAGCGUGUGUGAAGAAGGUCUUCGGAUUGUAAAGCACUUUAAGUUGGGAGGCGUUACCAACAGAAUAAGCACCGGCUAACUUCGUGCCAGCAGCCGCGGUAAUAC